UGAGAGAGAUAGUGGCCCACGCGCCGUCGUAGAGUGCUCACGCGCAGAGAUCUGACGAUUGAGUUUGAGAACAAUAUGGUCGUGAAUGGCCGGCCGUUGAAGCGAAUGAAGCGGCGAGUCACAGCCGACGUGAACGACUUCUUCACCUUCCCGUCCGGCGAGUCGCCGGUGGACGGGCCGUUCCGGAACAGCGUGAAGGCGUUCGUCUCGAAGUACGCGCUGCUCCCGCCGCCGUCGUCGCUGUUGCCGCAACUCAUGACGCGCCAGAUCGUGUUCCGAGUCGGCGACUCGGCCGAGUCGAACUCGGACGGGGAUGAUCUAGCCACUGUUUGUCUUGACGUCGUCGAGGAGAACGUGGCGAGAUCUAGAUCCGUGUAUUGCGAUCAGUGCCGAGUCGUUGGUGAGUUCCUUAACUGACCGAGUCACUGAACGAGUCAGUAGUUGGCGGGAAAUACGAGAAUAGUUAAUGCUGCUUUUUUUUAGCAAACCAAUCUGUUUACUCAUUUCCGGUAUAAUAAUUAAAAAACUAUAUAAAUAAAAUAUUAAUAUAUAAAUAAAUAAAUUAAUAUUGGACGGAUAUGAUAGAAGUACUAAAACAAUGAGUGAGAUAAAAUAAUUAGAUAUACAUGGUGGGUCCCUUGUCUAACUUAUCUUGUUUCUUCCUUUUGGCCCCACUUUUAGUUUGGUAACAUGUAGCCUGUAGGUGGGAUAUUUCAUAUUUUUCGACACGUAUCAAUAAUAAUUUGCCAUUUUUUACCUCUAUUUUUAUUAUAUUAUUUAUUAUUAAUCUAUAUGCUUACAAAAGUCAAAGAUGACAUGGACCGCUGACAACAAAUUAACCUGAUGGAAUGGACCUUGUGUAUAUAUUACUCCCUCCGUCAUCCGUCAUCCGUCCCCUGAGUUGUAUACAUUGGGGGACGGGGACGCGGCACGGACUUUAAUGCUCCUGCAAAGUGUAGUUGUGUAAUUUAUUUUUAAAAUUUUUCUUUUCUGAAUUAAAGUUUGGAUGUUAUAUUUUUAUACAGAAAAAGAAAAUCUCAAAAAUAAGUUACGGAACUAUAUUUUAUAAGAGCAUUGAAAUGCGUGUCGAGCAGUUAAAAAGAAACGUAUAGAAUUAAAUGGGACAGAGUAGCCUUUGGCAUAUGUAUCAUCAUAACUUUUUUUUUUUUUUGCUAAAUUGUAUCAUCAUAACUUUGCACUUAACACAAACUACCAUAAAGGGAUUAAAAAUAGAUUAGGCGGAUUGUAGGCCAAUUCUAUCAGAUAUUAAUAAAACAAUUAAUAAAACAAUUUAUCAAGAAUUUUUCUUCACCUAAGCAAUGUUCCAUCCAAAGAUCCGAUAAAAACACAACAUUGUCAAUGAACACUAAAACAUAUAUAGCUAACAGCUUUAUUUUCCAGGUACCUAAUAUAUUUUGAAUCUGAAUUUAAAUUAAUAAUUACAUAAUCAAAAUUAAUCUAAUAUCUGGUUAAAAGCUAUAUAUUUGUUACUUUAUAUAUAAUGUAAUGAUAUAAUAUUCAAAAUAUUAAUUUUAAUUUUAAUAUUUUUAAAAUAUAAGAUAAAUAUAUAUAUUCGUAUUUAUUAUUACUGUUAGUGUUUUUACAUUAAUACUCAAGUCUAAAAAGAUUUUCACAAAACACGAUAAUUUUUUUAAUUUUUUAAAAAAAUUAUAUCUAUUUAAAAAGUUAUCAUUUUUUUGAUUUUUGUACAAAAGUUUAAUUCAAAACUUCGCAACAGCAUGUGCAAUGCUAAUAAGUAAUAACCAUAUCGCAACAACAACAGACUUAUUUAAACAAAAAAAGCCCGCGGAGGGUCCAUAUAACAACCAUGGAGUUUAACUUUUAACCAAUUAAAUUUUAAUCUAAAAAAUAAAACCAUGCCUAGACCCGGUAGAUUUAACUUAGUAUGUGAAAUUAUAUCAGUGAUCAAAAACUUGUAUUUUUUUAUGAAAAUUCAAGACACCCAUAAUUUUGAUCAAAUCAAACAUUCUAUGAGAUAAUUAGUUUUAAUUCUUAAUAUUAAAUUGUUUGAUACAAAUAAGCUUUUAAUAUUUCUUAUAAAAAAAAAUGAUUUAACUAUAUUUUUUGUGAAUACAAAUCACUCACUCAUGUAACAUGAAUAUUAAUUUUACACUUUAACUAAUAAACUUUAAUUGCAAAAAGUUUUUUUAUCUAUCAAUUUAAAAUAAACUAUUGUUUAUGAGAAAAUAAAAGAUACCAAGGAAAAUGUGUCUUAAAAAUUUACUAAAAUCGUAAUAAUCACAGUAAAUUUUCUAUAAGUUAAUAACGUACGAGUCAAUAAAUUUUCUUAGAUUAAAUAUAUACUAUUAUUAUUAUAUAUGAGGACCAAAAUUAUGUCAAAUAUUGACUUUUAUAAAUCAUUAAUUAAUUAAUUAUUGAUUGAUCAAAGUUAUUAAACUAACAAAAAAUUGUCUAUAAUUUUCUUUUUAUAAACUUGUGUAUUAAUAGACUCAAGCUUUUAGUUGAUUGUCUUAACAGCUUCAAUAUGAAACGCUUCCCUCCUCUUUUAUAUUUUAAUAUUUACAUUUUUGAAUUCACUUUACUCUCUCACGGCAUUCGGUGCAGGCACGCGUCACACGUGUGACCGCUACACAAAAGAAAAGGAAAAACAAUGGGCAGUUGCUGACAGCUAAUUCAAUGGGCAUAUUUGUAAUUUCCUUCCAAACAUAUCCUUUUCUGACCCAUUCAAAUUAUGGAUGCAAAAUCAAAUUUCCCAUUUUUAACUCUUUAGUCAAUUUACAAUACUACCCUUGAAAGUUUAUGUUUAUUGACAAUAUUGCUUUCAAACAAGAAAAUUAAAAUCUUAAUUUGGAUGAAGUAACUAAACUAAGUUACAACUCUUCCCGUGUCAAUGAAAAACUUAAUUUGAUUUAUAUUUUUGAUUUAGUGACUCCUCAUAUUAUUCUCUACAUGCAUCAUUAUCGAUAUCUUAAUAGAGCACUUGUAUAACUAGCAAAUACACACUGAAUAAAUUUAUAAAAAAUAUCGACACGUGUUUAAAUUUAUUUUCAUAUUAAAAAAGACUUUUUUGAAAUAAAGGAUGGUCAGAUGUUAUUAUGUCUCCUAUUUCCAAGGCUAAUAUGAUAAAUCCCAAGAAGGGGUAUUUCUGUAAAUUUACAAACACUAGACUUAGCUAUUAAGAUUCAAAACGUAAAAUAAUGAUAAGGAAAAAAAAAACCUCAACCAACUCCUCCACAUUCUACUCUCUUCUUAAACCGACUCUGCCCAAGUCAUACCCCUUCGCUUUUUAUUUAUUUUCGUUCACGCUUCCCCGUAAAAACCAAAUAAAUUAAAAUUAUAUUUAUACACAUAAAUAUACAUCUAAUGUUCCAAAAAAGCCCCAAUUUUCUCAAACCCUAAUCUCGAUUUCCCCCUCUUUCACUCCCCCUCUCUUUGCGCCGCCGAUUAGUCUUUUUAUUCUUUCGAUUUCUCCACCGUAAAGUUAUUGAUUUCACUAGAUCUGAAGAAGUGUGAGAGAGAUAGUGGCCCACGCGCCGUCGUAGAGUGCUCACGCGCAGAGAUCUGACGAUUGAGUUUGAGAACAAUAUGGUCGUGAAUGGCCGGCCGUUGAAGCGAAUGAAGCGGCGAGUCACAGCCGACGUGAACGACUUCUUCACCUUCCCGUCCGGCGAGUCGCCGGUGGACGGGCCGUUCCGGAACAGCGUGAAGGCGUUCGUCUCGAAGUACGCGCUGCUCCCGCCGCCGUCGUCGCUGUUGCCGCAACUCAUGACGCGCCAGAUCGUGUUCCGAGUCGGCGACUCGGCCG
RNAcentral lists this long non-coding RNA (3787 nucleotides) under Daucus carota (carrot). RNAcentral describes it as "long non-coding RNA (DCAR_LNC003180)". Lineage: Eukaryota; Viridiplantae; Streptophyta; Magnoliopsida; Apiales; Apiaceae. The record is from RNAcentral.